This 6954-nucleotide long non-coding RNA is filed under the name Nicotiana benthamiana. Its description in RNAcentral is "long non-coding RNA (NBEN_LNC016541)". The record is from RNAcentral. Lineage: Eukaryota; Viridiplantae; Streptophyta; Magnoliopsida; Solanales; Solanaceae.
UUUCCAUUGUAAGGAGAGAAUUUCAUGUGUAUUGAUAGCAAGAAAAGCGUAAUAGACAACUAUGGAUGACUUGGAUUAAGUCAUAUACAAAAUUUAUACAUAUUUUUGGACUCCAUUUCGGUAUUUAUGAAUGAAAUCUUGACUCAUUAAAAAAAGGAUUUUGAUUAAACAAUUACUGCUGCUUUUGGCCAAGUAUGCUUGCUAACAAAACCUUCACUCUCUCCCAAUAAUUAUAUGCUUCUCCAGCAGUAUAUUAUAUACACGCCUGCCUUUGCUCUAUUAAGGGUUCCACCAGUUCACAUGUCCUUAUAGAUCUUCCAUGCACAAACCAACCGAUGGCAUCCAAGUAUUGGCAAUCUAAUGCCUAAAGAGCCAGCAAUGCUAACAAAGCAGCUCCAAGCAGUCUCAUCUGAACCAUCCAGGCUGAAAUUUAUGGAGUUAACACAUUGAACGCGAGGGAUAUUAACUCAUUGGAUAACAGGGAACAAUCAGGGUCACUAAGCCUGAUAUAUGCCAAUACCUCAUUAACCUUGUCCCCUUCAGAUAACAACAACAACAACAACAACCCAGUGUAAUCCCACUUAGUAGGGUUUGGGGAGGGUAGUAUGUACGCAGACCUUACCCUUACCCUUGGGUAGAGAGGCUGUUUCNNNNNNNNNNNNNNNNNNNNNNNNNNNNNNNNNNNNNNNNNNNNNNNNNNNNNNNNNNNNNNNNNNNNNNNNNNNNNNNNNNNNNNNNNNNNNNNNNNNNNNNNNNNNNNNNNNNNNNNNNNNNNNNNNNNNNNNNNNNNNNNNNNNNNNNNNNNNNNNNNNNNNNNNNNNNNNNNNNNNNNNNNNNNNNNNNNNNNNNNNNNNNNNNNNNNNNNNNNNNNNNNNNNNNNNNNNNNNNNNNNNNNNNNNNNNNNNNNNNNNNNNNNNNNNNNNNNNNNNNNNNNNNNNNNNNNNNNNNNNNNNNNNNNNNNNNNNNCCUUCCCUCCACGAACUUCCCACCUUGCUCUUGGGGAGACUCGAACUCACAACCUCUCGGUUGGAAGUGAGGGUUACUUACCAUCAGAGCAACCCCUCUUCUCAUUCCCCUUCAGAUAACAAAGAUCUGAAUUCUUCUGCGUCGAUUUUCCUCCUCUGCUCAUCCAAACAGACAACACGACCACUCUCAAUAUGAGGUUUAUAGACCUCACAAAGGGAAAGAACAGUUGAGCUUCCAAAAGCUUUGCUAAAUGACUUCAAAUCUAACCCUCUAGCAGUUCUCAUAGACAGCAUAACAACAUCCGUCGCUAUUGUCUUUAGCGUCUACUUUACUGUCCUGGCAACAAUUCACUAGGCCAUUCUCCAAAUUUUGCAUGUAACCCAUGUAAUCUUUCAGCUUUCUUGCCUUGAAAACCUUACCCCAUUAAGAUAACUGGCUGACCCCAGUCCAAAACCAUAAAAAGAUUUGUUUAUCCAGUAUGUAUAAUUGUGCUUGCAUUGAUAACCACUUUUGCAGUAGCUACUAAUCUCAUAGUGCUCAUAACCAGCAUUUCUUAGCAUUUCAGAGGCCAUUUUGUAAAACUCAGUAGAUUGAUUUUCAGAAGGCAGAGGGAAUUCUCCAGCUGUAUACCUGUAGGCACAAUAAUUUCAGUUCAAAAGUUGAACGUGUAAGUCACUCGCAAGAUUUUAGGAUAUUCUUCUCUAUACUUGAAAAUGUAGUGUCAGAUUUACUGCUGAAAUACAUCUUGCAGUACAACUUAAUAGAAAAGUAGCAAUAAAAAACAAAUAAUAUUGGCUUUUAUAAAGUUAGCUGAUAAGAGACAAUCAAACAUAUCAACUAGGCCUUGAUCCCAAAUCAAUCUGAAAAAAUAGCUGAAAAGAAUACUGGGAAAAGAUGUUGAUAAAGAAAAAUCCCAACUUUGCAAGAGAAGGUUGUACUACUUACAAAGAUCCAAACUUUGUAUCUUGUUCAACUUGUAAAUCGUAAACUGAGACACGUGUAGGCUUUGCUUGAAUGGUGAGGCUCAAGCUUUGUUCCCACAUAUGUGGCUUCUGAUGAGGAAGUGAAGAUAUAAGGUCCAUACUCCAAUUCUCAACACCACAUGACCCAACUAUGUCAAUAGCCUCAUUAAUUUCCUCAACCCCAUGAGCUCUCCCACAACUCUUAAGCAAUUCCUCCUUGAAUGCCUGAACUCCUAGAGAAACUCUAUUAACACCCAACUUCAUCAAAUCUUUCAAUUUUGCAGUAUCAAAUGUACCGGGGUCCAUUUCUAUUGAAAUUUCAGCAUCAGAACACACACCAAAUUUAGAUUCCAAUGUGUCCAGGAUUAAAGAUACUAAUUUUGGCAGCACAAGUGAAGGUGUCCCUCCGCCGAAAAAGACAGUUUCAAGAGGUGACUUGCGGUUGGAAGGUGUUGGGGUGGCUUUAAUUUCCCUGCAGAGAAAAUCAAUGUAGUUGAGAAUUCGCGGGUCAUCAUCAGCUUGAGGAGAAGCUGAGCCGAGAGCGACGAUAGGGAAAUCGCAGUAGUGGCAGCGCUUUCGGCAGAAUGGAAGGUGAACGUAAGCUGAGGUUGGGUUAUGCUGUUGCAGGAACGUAUUGUCUAUUGCGGCAUUUUGUCGAACUGUUUGUGGGGGUUUUGAUAUUGCAGUGAUAAUUGUGUUGGAAUAGUUGCGGUGUUUGGCCUUAGAUGGAAAUGCCGUGAAUAUAGGUGUGAACGUUGAUCUCAGCAUGUUUGGGAAGGCAAAAAUAGAGCCUCCAGCAUAAUAAGCAUUAAUCAUUUUUUAGUAGGAAAAAAAGGGGAUAAAAGCAAAAGAAAACACAAGCUGGUAAUUAAUUAUGUAUAGCCAACAGAAAUAGUUUUAAGUCAGCCAAAUAUGAGCAUGGUUUUGUAUUCUAAUUUUAAAUGGAUUGGGGGGUGCACCUACGCGGAGAAGAGAAUAAUCGAUUUUGGUGAGGAUUAUUAUUUUAUUUCAGAAAAAGAGGUUUUUUCCUUCUCAAAAGUUAUGUUUUUUAGUAUAAAAAUUGCAAAAAGGAAACAUGACUACAGGCUUUGAAAAAGGAAAAAAAGGAAUAUGCAUAAAAUGUGUUUUUGCUUCUUUUUGUUUUAAGUGACUCUUUUUUUCCUGUGGCUUAAGCCAUUGGUUGGCUAAAUCUGACUUACAAGAAAAUUAUAUUAUUGGUUCGGAUCCCAUUUUUUCUUGUAUGAAAAUCAAAUGGGCGGGCCAACGAACUCUUUCGACGGCCAAUCAUCAAAAGAAUGAAUGGCCAUUGGAGGUGAAAAACCAUAGAAAUUGGUUCCCUACGAUGUCAACGUUCACGAGGCCGAUCUUCGGUGUCAUACAGUAGUAGAAGAGUAAAUAAGAUCUCUAUUAUGUACUUGUCAAACUAAUAAUUAUACAUGAUAUAUAUUUUUACUGGUAAUUUUAUCAUUUUACUAUAUAUAUAAAUAAAAGUAUGCGUGCGUGUGUGUAACAAUUUGAUGAUUUAACUAUAGAAAAUUAACAUUAUUUCCAUCAUUUUUUGUUAAAUAUUACAGUAAUUUCUUUUUUCUUUUUCCGGCUUUGGAUUUGAGGUACUAUUUUGGCGCGAAUAAGCAUAAUUAUAAGCGUUCCCGCUACAAUUUUGCUAAUCGCUAUUUUUGGCGGCUAAAAUCCCUUAAUCUUCGCUUCUACUGCAACGUUCCAAUUUCCAAGUCGCCGCCAUGAAUUCCAGAGAAGCUGCGCUGGUUUCAGCUGCCACAGUACUCGGUGCCUUUGCUUCUGCUGUAACCGUUCGGUUUUUCUUCACCCCCAAAAGGCGUUCGAUUACAGAUUCAGACUCGGGAGUCAACGGUUUCCACCAGAGGAAGUCAUCUUCUCAGAACCCAUUUGAUCCUUCAAAACGCGAAGGGUUUGUCCAUUUUAACUUUUAUUGUAUUUAAAGUUCGAAAUUUACGUAAUUUACUUUUAUUUUCAGAAAAAAUGUAAAGGAAAAUGGUUCUGUGAGUUUAGGUAUUUGUCAUGGGAUGAUUAUUUUAUGGCGAUUGCAUUUCUAUCUGCUGAACGGUCCAAGGAUCCUAACAGGCAGGUACUAGUCUAAUUGUGAACUGAUUAUCAUGCUUUUUGUAUAAAUUCUAAGUCAUUUUGGAAUGGAUGAGUAGAAUUAUACGCCAAAUGUUUGUUGAAAGUUGUGUCCUUGAUGCUAAGUUGCUUAAGUUCAGUAUUUAUAGAAAUUACUUUAUUGUGGUUGACUUUGUCAAUUAACAGAUCCCCAUAAUUAAGAGGAAGAGUCUCAACUAUAUUCUCAAACAUAAUUGAAAAUGCCAAGUAGUCUUUGAAGUUUCCCUGAUCUGGAACAAAGGCUACUGAUUAAUAUGUCCUAAGUGAAUUUAUCCCGUCUUCUAGAGAACCAAAGUAGUGAUUAGUAGUUCUUGCCCUUUUAACCUCACACUAAAAAGAGUUAUCCAAUCAUGAGUAUGACCGUGUUCCUUCCAACCAAUGAAGCUAUUUAUAGACAGUAUCAAGUUCAACUGUACUUGUUGGAAUAACUCUUGUUCAUGGUGCUCAAGUUAACUGCUCUGAGCUCUUUUGUAUGUUUUCUUUCCCACAUUUUACUGCUCUAGUGCUACUUCAAGGUUGAUUUUCUCAACUCAGGUUUCACAAGCUCCAUUGAAACUAAACACUUUCUGGUUGUUUGGCAGGUUGGAGCGUGUUUGGUGAGUCAAAAUGGUGUAAUACUAGGUAGGCUGUAUUUGAAGGAAUCACUUAUUUGUCUGUUGACAGCUGAAAAUGUUCCGUAUCAUUUAAGUUUUAUUUUUGCAAUUUAUUUUGCAAACUAUAUUUGAUUAGGGAGAACUACAUAAUACUCCUAUCAAUUGAUUGUCUUUCAGAGUAGCUGAAAGAUAGAUAACUAGCUCAUUUGGUUAUGUGGAUCAAGGGCACAUAUUCAGUCACUUUGGACUUUGUGAUUUUGCUAUAUUAACUUAAAUAUAUUAUAAUAUUCAUUUCUGAUCUCAUAACCCUGAUGAUAGCAUGGCCGUUCUACUUAUUGCAUUCUAGGAUUUCUUAUUUAAUAUGAACAGAAAAAGAUGAAAAUGGAAAGGUGAAUACUUCAGGAGUAGGGAGGUGAAAGCUACAUUCACUAAAACAUAAGUGCGUUCUUAGAAAUGGUGAACAUUUGCAAGACACAAGUUUUCUGCUGCCCUCGAAGUUGCUUUACUCUUCCUGCAGAGUAAAUAUUAUUGACUACAUAUAUGUUUUAUCUCAACUUCAUCACUUGAAUUAGAAUACAUAUGGCCACAUUGUAAUGCUGGGGAGUAUAUUGGUGAAUUAUAUAAGACCCACAUAGGAUUUUUGAUAUUGGAAGUUCAUCUUUAUUCUCUGGUUUGUUAUCUUUCCCCUUAUGGCUUGUGUUUCCAUCAUAUUUGAAUGUUUGAUUAGGCUAAUUGCAUCACGUCUAGAAUAUGCACAUUCAAGCAACAUACUUACUGCCAAUAGGUUGUUAGAUUCCAUUUAAUUUAUGCUCUGCUUUUAGCCAGGCAUUGGAUACAAUGGGUUCCCACGUGGCUGUUCAGAUGACAAGCUUCCCUGGGCAAAGGUUGGCACUGUUUGCUGAGAAAUGUUUUUGUUAUCGUCAGCGUUAUUCUAACUCAUUCGCUACCAUUUCAGAAAUCUAAAAAUGGAAAUCCAUUGGAUACUGUUUGCUGAGAAAUGUUUUUUGUUAUCGUCAGCAUUAUUCUAACUCAUUCGUUACCAUUUCAGAAAUCUAAAAAUGGAAAUCCGUUGGAGACAAAGUAUCCGUAAGUUAUAUUCUUCUCCAAAACAUUUAUAUAUGCAAAAAUGUGUAAUUACCAAUAACUAUCUUAAUUCAAGAAACAAGUUUUUCUCAAUCUACAUUAGAUGACUCUACCUCAUUCAAGCUUUCCGAUUCUUGUAGUUAUGUUUGUCAUGCUGAAGUUAAUGCCAUCUUGAAUACAAAUCAUGCAUCUGCUGCUGGACAGGUUAGCUUGAGUCAUGACUUGUGAACUAUCCAUCAUUCCAUCUACUGUCCUGACAGACACCUCUACUUCCAGUCACCCCCUCCCCCUCUAGACUGCUUCUUUUCUUUUCAAUCCUAUUGGAAAUUAUUUUAUCUCCUGCAACUUGCGCAGUAUUAACUCACAGAAUGUCUUAUCCAUAUUAUGCAGAGGCUCUAUGUCACAAUGUUUCCUUGCAAUGAAUGCGCAAAGAUUAUCAUUCAGGUGAAUUAAGCGUGAUCCUUUAUGACUUCAACAUAUCUAUAGCACCCCAGCAACAUCUUCUACUAUGUUGAUAAAAUGGAAAUUUGCCUCCGUCAUUGGAAGUUUAAGCUUUUUCUGGAUGUUCGUUUCAUAAAUUCCGAUAGAACAUGCUCUUUCAAAGAUUAUGUGAGGGCAAAACAAAUUGCUAGAUUUCCAUUAAGGGGAGGCUAUUGAAUGAUUUGUUAAAGAAUUUGCAUAUCACUUGCAAGGAAAACUGGGGGCGUCAGGAUUUCACAUAUUUUACCUUGCAAAUGGAUAUAAAUACAGACUUUACGAAGGCGCAUUUUGUCUCUUUUUCAAGAUACAAAGAGUAGUUAUAAAAGGAUUGCAAAGUAAAAAAAUAGCUAUAACAAGAAUCUUUUCGUAUUUGCUGAUAUUGACUUCUGUGCACCGGAAUUAGGAUGUUUAAUUAAUUAUGCAUUUCUGCUUCUCGCACCUUCCCUUUUUGGCUUUCUAGUAAUUUAUACUUCACAAAUGUUUGUAUUUGCAGUCUGGUGUUUCAGAGGUAAUUUAUUUUGUGGAGAAGAGGUUGGACGGUUCUGACGCAAUGUAUAUUGCUUCCCACAAACUUUUGUCAAUGGCAGGCAUAAAAGUAAGUCAUUUUAUUAGUGUCAACAACAACAACAACAACAAUCCAGUAUAAUCCCAUUUAGUGGGGUUUGGGGAGGGUAGUGUGUACGCAGACCUUACACCUACCCUUCGGUAGAGAGGCUGUUUCCAAAUAGACCCCC